Molecule: long non-coding RNA, 512 nt
Organism: Dicentrarchus labrax (European seabass)
Lineage: Eukaryota; Metazoa; Chordata; Actinopteri; Moronidae
Exons: 6
Source: RefSeq, a predicted model, not a curated record
GUGUUUAAUAGUAGACACCAGUAUUUACACAAGUUGCCACCAGUGGUUACCAGUAUGUACAGUAAGACUUAGAAAUGCGUAACCAUUCGCAGAUAAUGGUAGGCACCAGUAAAGUUACCAGUACCUAUAGGUAGUCACCAGUAAAGUUACCAGUACUUAUAGGUAGGCACCAGUAAAGUUACCAGUACCUAUAGGUAGUCACCAGUAAAGUUACCAGUACUUAUAGGUAGGCACCAGUAAAGUUACCAGUACCUAUAGGUAGUCACCAGUAAAGUUACCAGUACUUAUAGGUAGGCACCAGUAAAGUUACCAGUACCUAUAGGUAGUCACCAGUAAAGUUACCAGUACUUAUAGGUAGUCACCAGUAAAGUUACCAGUACUUAUAGGUAGGCACCAGUAAAGUUACCAGUACCUAUAGGUAGUCACCAGUAAAGUUACCAGUACUUAUAGGUAGGCACCAGUAAAGUUACCAGUACUUAUAGGUAGGCACCAGCAUCUAAAAGUAGCCCCCA